RNAcentral lists this ribosomal RNA (489 nucleotides) under uncultured Ruminococcus sp. Its description in RNAcentral is "bacterial SSU rRNA". It matches the Rfam family "Bacterial small subunit ribosomal RNA", at positions 20 to 507 of the family's 1533-position model. The record is from RNAcentral. Lineage: Bacteria; Bacillati; Bacillota; Clostridia; Eubacteriales; Oscillospiraceae.
UGGCUCAGGACGAACGCUGGCGGCGUGCCUAACACAUGCAAGUCGAACGGAACUUAGUUGAAGGAAUUCUUCGGAAGGACAUUGGUUAAGUUUAGUGGCGACGGGUGAGUAACGCGUGAGUAACCUGCCUCCGAGAGGGGAAUAACAAUCUGAAAAGAUUGCUAAUACCGCAUAACAUAGCGAAGUCGCAUGGCAGCGCUAUCAAAGAUUUAUCGCUCGGAGAUGGACUCGCGUCCGAUUAGUUAGUUGGUGAGGUAACGGCUCACCAAGACCGCGAUCGGUAGCCGGACUGAGAGGUUGAACGGCCACAUUGGGACUGAGACACGGCCCAGGCUCCUACGGGAGGCAGCAGUGGGGGAUAUUGCGCAAUGGGGGAAACCCUGACGCAGCAACGCCGCGUGAAGGAUGAAGGUUUUCGGAUUGUAAACUUCUUUUAUUAAGGACGAAAAAAUGACGGUACUUAAUGAAUAAGCUCCGGCUAACUACGUG